This 253-nucleotide ribosomal RNA is filed under the name uncultured bacterium. RNAcentral describes it as "partial 16S ribosomal RNA". It matches the Rfam family "Bacterial small subunit ribosomal RNA", at positions 524 to 776 of the family's 1533-position model. The record is from RNAcentral.
UACGUAGGGUGCAGGCGUUAAUCGGAAUUACUGGGCGUAAAGCGUGCGCAGGCGGUUUGCUAAGACAGGUGUGAAAUCCCCGGGCUUAACCUGGGAACUGCGCUUGUAACUGGCAGGCUUGAGUGUGGCAGAGGGGGGUGGAAUUCCACGUGUAGCAGUGAAAUGCGUAGAGAUGUGGAGGAACACCGAUGGCGAAGGCAGCCCCCUGGGCUAACACUGACGCUCAUGCACGAAAGCGUGGGGAGCAAACAGG